RNAcentral lists this ribosomal RNA (2294 nucleotides) under Helicobacter pylori CPY1313. Its description in RNAcentral is "bacterial LSU rRNA". It matches the Rfam family "Bacterial large subunit ribosomal RNA", at positions 613 to 2925 of the family's 2925-position model. The record is from RNAcentral. Lineage: Bacteria; Pseudomonadati; Campylobacterota; Epsilonproteobacteria; Campylobacterales; Helicobacteraceae.
UAAUGAUCCUGCGAGUUGUGGUAUCUGGCAAGGUUAAGCGGAUGCGAAGCCGUAGCGAAAAGCGAGUCUUAAUAGGGCGAUUUAAGUCAGACGCUGCAGACCCGAAGCUAAGUGAUCUAUCCAUGGCCAAGUUGAAACGCGUGUAAUAGCGCGUGGAGGACUGAACUCGUACCCAUUGAAACGGGUUGGGAUGAGCUGUGGAUAGGGGUGAAAGGCCAAACAAACUUAGUGAUAGCUGGUUCUCUUCGAAAUAUAUUUAGGUAUAGCCUCAAGUGAUAAUAAAAGGGGGUAGAGCCCUGAUUGGGCUAGGGCUGCUCGCCGCGGUACCAAACCCUAUCAAACUUCGAAUACCUUUUAUCGUAUCUUGGGAGUCAGGCGGUGGGUGAUAAAAUCAAUCGUCAAAAGGGGAACAACCCAGGCUACCAAAUAAGGUCCCUAAGUUCUAUUCUGAGUGGAAAAAGAUGUGUGGCUACUCAAACAACCAGGAGGUUGGCUUAGAAGCAGCCAUCCUUUAAAGAAAGCGUAACAGCUCACUGGUCUAGUGGUCAUGCGCUGAAAAUAUAACGGGGCUAAGAUAGACACCGAAUUUGUAGAUUGUGUUAAACACAGUGGUAGAAGAGCGUUCAUACCAGCGUUGAAGGUAUACCGGUAAGGAGUGCUGGAGCGGUAUGAAGUGAGCAUGCAGGAAUGAGUAACGAUAAGAUAUAUGAGAAUUGUAUCCGCCGUAAAUCUAAGGUUUCCUACGCGAUGGUCGUCAUCGUAGGGUUAGUCGGAUCCUAAGCCGAGUCCGAAAGGGGUAGGUGAUGGCAAAUUGGUUAAUAUUCCAAUACCGACUAUGGAGCGUGAUGGGGGGACGCAUAGAGUUAAGCGAGCUAGCUGAUGGAAGCGCUAGUCUAAGGGCGUAGAUUGGAGGGAAGGCAAAUCCACCUCUGUAUUUGAAACCCAAACAGGCUCUUUGAGUCCUUUUAGGACAAAGGGAGAAUCGCUGAUACCGUCGUGCCAAGAAAAGCCUCUAAGCAUAUCCAUAGUCGUCCGUACCGCAAACCGACACAGGUAGAUGAGAUGAGUAUUCUAAGGCGCGUGAAAGAACUCUGGUUAAGGAACUCUGCAAACUAGCACCGUAAGUUCGCGAUAAGGUGUGCCGCAGCAAUGCGGUCUCAGCAAAGAGUCCCUCCCGACUGUUUACCAAAAACACAGCACUUUGCCAACUCGUAAGAGGAAGUAUAAGGUGUGACGCCUGCCCGGUGCUCGAAGGUUAAGAGGAUGCGUCAGUCGCAAGAUGAAGCGUUGAAUUGAAGCCCGAGUAAACGGCGGCCGUAACUAUAACGGUCCUAAGGUAGCGAAAUUCCUUGUCGGUUAAAUACCGACCUGCAUGAAUGGCGUAACGAGAUGGGAGCUGUCUCAACCAGAGAUUCAGUGAAAUUGUAGUGGAGGUGAAAAUUCCUCCUACCCGCGGCAAGACGGAAAGACCCCGUGGACCUUUACUACAACUUAGCACUGCUAACGGGAAUACCAUGCGCAGGAUAGGUGGGAGGCUUUGAAGUAAGGGCUUUGGCUCUUAUGGAGCCAUCCUUGAGAUACCACCCUUGAUGUUUCUGUUAGCUAACUGGCCUGUGUUAUCCACAGGCAGGACAAUGCUUGGUGGGUAGUUUGACUGGGGCGGUCGCCUCCUAAAAAGUAACGGAGGCUUGCAAAGGUUGGCUCAUUGCGGUUGGAAAUCGCAAGUUGAGUGUAAUGGCACAAGCCAGCCUGACUGUAAGACAUACAAGUCAAGCAGAGACGAAAGUCGGUCAUAGUGAUCCGGUGGUUCUGUGUGGAAGGGCCAUCGCUCAAAGGAUAAAAGGUACCCCGGGGAUAACAGGCUGAUCUCCCCCAAGAGCUCACAUCGACGGGGAGGUUUGGCACCUCGAUGUCGGCUCAUCGCAUCCUGGGGCUGGAGCAGGUCCCAAGGGUAUGGCUGUUCGCCAUUUAAAGCGGUACGCGAGCUGGGUUCAGAACGUCGUGAGACAGUUCGGUCCCUAUCUGCCGUGGGCGUAGGAAAGUUGAGGAGAGCUGUCCCUAGUACGAGAGGACCGGGAUGGACGUGUCACUGGUGCACCAGUUGUUCUGCCAAGAGCAUCGCUGGGUAGCUACACACGGAUGUGAUAACUGCUGAAAGCAUCUAAGCAGGAAGCCAACUCCAAGAUAAACUUUCCCUGAAGCUCGCACAAAGACUAUGUGCUUGAUAGGGUAGAUGUGUAAGCGCAGUAAUGCGUUUAGCUGACUACUACUAAUAGAGCGUUUGGCUUGUUUUU